Molecule: long non-coding RNA, 378 nt
Filed under: Carica papaya (papaya)
Lineage: Eukaryota; Viridiplantae; Streptophyta; Magnoliopsida; Brassicales; Caricaceae
Description: long non-coding RNA (CPAP_LNC016530)
Source: RNAcentral
UCAAUAUCUAUGACUGGGUUGCGAUGCUGAGACUCGGCUCAUAUGCUGAGGUGCUAGAACAUACCCAACUAGCCGAAGACUUUAUAUCGACCAAGUAUCAACGCAUUGUCCGAGUCCCUACUCAACAAAAACACCAACCCUAACAACCCAGAAGAAGACUGCUCGACCCAGUAAGUAGCCAUCCCAAUAAAAGACCUCGAGUUGUCCCUCCCCCUACUUCACCUCCACCUACUGGACAACCUGCUUGACCUUCCCAACCAUGCCAGCAUUGUAGUCGCUCACAUGGUGAUCUACCCUAUCGUGUAUUAAUCACACCUGCUAUCGGUGCGGAAGCACCCAGUUAUAAAGGACUGCCCUUAACGACUGAAGGACAUGGCC